This 845-nucleotide ribosomal RNA is filed under the name uncultured bacterium. RNAcentral's name for it is "bacterial SSU rRNA". It matches the Rfam family "Bacterial small subunit ribosomal RNA", at positions 547 to 1390 of the family's 1533-position model. The record is from RNAcentral.
GNAAUUAUUGGGCGUAAAGCGCGCGCAGGCGGAUCAGUCAGUCUNUCUUAAAAGUUCGGGGCUUAACCCCGUGAUGGGAUGGAAACUGCUGAUCUAGAGUAUNGGAGAGGAAAGUGGAAUUCNUAGUGUAGCGGUGAAAAGCGUAGAUAUUAGGAAGAACACCAGUGGCGAAGGCGACUUUCUGGACGAAAACUGACGCUGAGGCGCGAAAGCCAGGGGAGCGAACGGGAUUAGAUACCCCGGUAGUCCCGGCCGUAAACGAUGGGUACUAGGUGUAGGAGGUAUCGACCCCUUCUGUGCCGGAGUUAACGCAAUAAGUACCCCGCCUGGGGAGUACGACCGCAAGGUUGAAACUCAAAGGAAUUGACGGGGGCCCGCACAAGCGGUGGAGUAUGUGGUUUAAUUCGACGCAACGCGAAGAACCUUACCAGGUCUUGACAUUGAUGGACAGAACCAGAGAUGGUUCCUCUUCUUCGGAAGCCAGAAAACUGGUGGUGCACGGUUGUCGUCAGCUCGUGUCGUGAGAUGUUGGGUUAAGUCCCGCAACGAGCGCAACCCCUAUCUUAUGUUGCCAGCACGUAAAGGUGGGAACUCAUGAGAGACUGCCGCAGACAAUGCGGAGGAAGGCGGGGAUGACGUCAAAUCAUCAUGCCCCUUAUGACCUGGGCUACACACGUACUACAAUGGGAGUUAAUAGACGGAAGCGAGAUCGCGAGAUGGAGCAAACCCGAGAAACACUCUCUCAGUUCGGAUUGUAGGCUGCAACUCGCCUACGUGAAGUCGGAAUCGCUAGUAAUCGCAGGUCAGCAUACUGCGGUGAAUACGUUCCCGGGCCUUGUACACAC